Molecule: ribosomal RNA, 253 nt
Filed under: uncultured bacterium
Lineage: Bacteria
Description: partial 16S ribosomal RNA
Rfam family: Bacterial small subunit ribosomal RNA
Source: RNAcentral
UACAGAGGUGCCGAGCGUUAGGCGGAAUCACUGGGCUUAAAGCGCGUGUAGGUGGAUCGUUAAGUGUCUUGUGAAAUCCCACGGCUCAACCGUGGAACUGCUGGGCAUACUGACGAUCUUGAGGCACUCAGGGGCUGUCGGAACAAAUGGUGGAGCGGUGAAAUGCGCAGAUAUCAGGAGGAACACCGGUGGCGAAGGCGGGUCUCUGGGCCGAUACUGACGCUGAGGAGCGAAAGCGUGGGGAGCGAACAGG